RNAcentral lists this long non-coding RNA (2090 nucleotides) under Linum usitatissimum (flax). Its description in RNAcentral is "long non-coding RNA (LUSI_LNC003427)". The record is from RNAcentral. Lineage: Eukaryota; Viridiplantae; Streptophyta; Magnoliopsida; Malpighiales; Linaceae.
GUUAAACCAGUGAACCUCUGGAGGGGGGGAUGGGGAAGAGCAACUCUGGCAUCUAUACUUCGCUAUUACCUACUUUCGCAAGACUUAUCUGCAAUCCUAUUAGCUUCACGGAAGAUGUGCAGCAGCCUGAAGGAUCCAACUAACUGAAGAAGUCUUCUAGUUUCAAGCACAAUGGCAACAAAGGGUGAGUGGAUCUAAUUUCCCCGUUAAAAAGUAAAUGCAUGUGACAUCAUUUUAAUUUAUGAAUACUAAAAAAAAUAAGAGAUUUUUGGAGAUUUGAAAUUACCUUGUUGGUCUAGAGGGAAUGUAGGGGACGAUUUCAGCUAAUUAGCCAUAAUUAUUGCAUUCAAAAUCACACACAAAUAAUCCAUCCAAACGGUUUAUUUCAAAAAUAGCAAACCUCAUCCAAAUAUGAAGUCGUAUGAUAUUAUCUGAUACCUAUAGGGCCUCGUUUGGUAUGCGAUAUCUCGAAUAUUAUGAUAUUCGAGAUAUCGUGAUAUUGAGUGUUAUUAAUAUUGGUAGGGAAUAUUAUAAAAUUAUUGUUUGAUAUGAUUAAAAAUAAAAUUACGGAUAUAGCCCCACUAAUAUUCUUACUUUCCCAAUUCAAAAGUUUUGCCAAUUGUUAGUUUGUGUUUAGAGUUGGGAAAUUUUUAUAUUCAUUGAUUCUGUCGUGAAUGAUUAUUGGUGGAUGAGAGAUAGCCACUGAAUCGUUCAGGAGGGAAUUGGUCUACGGGAAGUGUCUGGGGAGUUGAUUUGAGAGAAAGAGCGUCGAGGGAAGGGUGAGUAGGAAUGUCGUCGUCGUCAACGACGCAUUACAAGGAAGAAACUACCUUAGCCGGAGUUGUUGAGGCAUAAAGAGGUGAGAAGCUAUGUGCAGUGAAGACGAAGGAGAAUUGAAAGUGAUAGAGUAUUGGUAUGAAGAAAUGGAUUUUGUAUUGUUUUGCGAGUAUAUGUCAAUCUGGGAAAUUGGAAGGAAUCAAUGGAAACAAGAAACAAGAGAGCGGGAAGAGGAAAGAUUGCCAGAUGGGUAAUGGUGGAGGUGCGUGAGAUGAAGAAGGCGGAUGAAAGUGAGAAAUUGUACGGACAAAUCAUCAAUCCUCUGUCCGUCACGGUGAUGUCGUCGUCGCAGCUUCUUCUCCACUCCCGUCGAAUGCGAAGAAGAGAGAGCAUGUUAUUAUCAGCCAAAAUGGAAAAAAGAAGAAAACAUGGCAAUUAUUGCGCCAAAAAAUCAGGAGAAUGUGGACCAGAUGAUAAUGUGGCUGUGUAAUUACAACAAAUUUAAGAGGUAAAUAUGCCCAGUUGGAAUGAUAUUAGAGUGCUAUUCACAUAUUUUGUUUUUAGAGGAUAUUCAAUAUUGCAGUUUUGUGAUAUUGAUAUAUGUGAAUAUCGUGAUAUUUCCGUUUCGAAACACGUAAAUAUUUCGGAUAUCACGGUAUUGGGUGAUAUCAUAUUAGAUAUCACUCAUACCAAACAAUCCCUAUUUUUACAAAAUGGAAAUGGGCUGUGAACUCUUAGCUGAAUACAUAGUAAAAUGCGGACCACACCCUUAUAGUUUUAAGUUAGUGCAUCGGAUAUCAUUAUAUUUAAGAUUCUGCACCGGAUGCCAUUAUAAUAAUAAUUUAAGUGCACUUACCUCUUUUUAUAGGUUUCAUGAGAUUCAACAGGUUAUCGAGUUGAUGUGGCUGCCACAAAGCUACAAACGAAUCUUAAAAAUAAAUAAAAAAUUAAAAAACAGAACUAAAAAGAAUGCCCCAAAUUUUUUUUCUCUCAUAAUCUUCUUCCUUAAUAAAGGACUUUAAAUUUAACAAAUGCCUAAUUAACGUUGUUGUUUAUCUCCGUAAUAUCUCCCUUAAAUCAUUCAAAGUUGUAUAACCCUCAAGAAUUUAAUUCCUUUUUUGAUCCCUCGAGGACGACUCUGGCUAUUUAAAGUGAGUUUCACUUCCAUAGAUCUGGCGAGGUAGGUAAAUACCCUUUCAUUUUGUUUCAUGUUCUUAAACUACUCAUCUUCUUCUUCAAUACGUUCCUCAAAAAACGGUUUGUAAGAUCUGUUUUCUUAAUUUAAUUUAUUUAUGUACAGGUUAGUGGAGGUU